UUUGGAAUAUUUUUAGAAGGAAUGGUACCAGCUCUUCUUUGUACCUCUAGUAGAAUUCGGCUCUGAAUUUGGUUCCACUCUCCCCAUCACUUUCAGGUACACCAACCAAAGACAUUGUUGUCUUUGGGACCAAUACAUUUCUUCUAUCUGCAUAUCUGGGUAGAAGCUCUCAUGGAAGAAAAAAGAAAAGCCCCAUAGGUGAAGGGGAGUGUGCCUGCCAAGUUCCUUGUAAUAACUUCACACGCAGAGUAUUUUCUGAAAUGGAUCUGCUAGAGUCAUCUCAUGGAAUCUUCUCAUUCUUCUGGAGUCUCCUCAUUUUACAGACGCUGAAGGAAAAACACCAGCUGAGGAAGAAUGAAGAACUGCCUGUUCUAAGUUAUUCUCCUUCUGUGGUCAUUCGAGCACCAGGAAGACCAGGUUUGCCCCAUCAAGUACCUCAAGAAAGAAGUCAAUUACCUAAAGAAGUCAAGCAAAGAGGAAAGGACAAAAUGAAAAUCAUGUACCAGGGUACACGUCGAGGCUCCAAGCUGGAAUGAAUAUGGCCUUCAACAUACUCUUUAUCAUACAGAAGCUUGUGUUCAGGGCUUGGAUUUUGAAGUCAGACAGACCUGGAUUAAAAACCAAUUCAACUACCUAUUACAUAUGUGACCUAGGAAAAACAUCCAGGCAAGUGGACAGCAUUUGCAACAGCCCAGCAAUAAGAAGGACCAUAUUCUACUUGGGAAAAGCCUGCCAGGAAACCUGUCAUUCAACCCUUUGCAAUAAAACAGCUCCUCAUGAAUGAAGCAAAAUAAAUCAGAAGUUGUGGGCUUUUAAACUCACUAAAUGAAAGCACAGCAUGCAUGCAGCCUCCCUCCAAAUUAAUCACCAGAUUAAAUGCAAGAUGUGCACACCAAAUCAAUAGCUUGUGACGGGGACCUCCUGCCUGUGCUUCAGGAAAAUUCCAUUUCCUUUCAGAUGUUGUCGCUUGAAAUGUCAGGAAGUUUCCAUUCAUCACCCGCCCUUGAAAAUGCCACCAUCACCAUACUUCAUGUUUCCUUGCUUUCUUUCUUCAGAGGAAUCCAAGCACCUUGCAGAGGGAGCCCACUCCUUGUCACAGACUCUCCUGGAGGCUGAAACAGGGGCAGUCUGCACAGAGGAGAGGUGUAGAGAGGCGCGAUUUAGAAAUAAGAAAACCAAAUCGUAAAGAAGCCUAAUGUCUUGUUGCAACAUCUGAAAGAAACAAGAUGAAUAUAUUCCACUAGGUGGGAAGCUUAGGGUAGUGGGAAGAACAUGGAUUCAGGACUUUGAGAAACAUGGAUUUAAAUUUUGAUCCCCAAUGCCUCUCUGCACUUCACUGUUAUCUAUAAAAUAGAGGAAAUAAAAAUACUAUACAUUCAAGUCUUAACACCAACAGUUAACUAGUUGUGUAACCUUGGACAAGUUAUGUGACCUCUCUGUCUGAGCAUUGUCAUUUGUAUAUGAGAUCAUGGAGGUUAAAUGUCCAACCUGUUGUCACUGUGCACCUCAAAAUAAUAAAUAAAACAUUUCAUCUCUCAA
This 1539-nucleotide long non-coding RNA is filed under the name Homo sapiens (human). RNAcentral's name for it is "PREDICTED lncRNA (TCONS_00017145)". Lineage: Eukaryota; Metazoa; Chordata; Mammalia; Primates; Hominidae. The record is from RNAcentral.